UACGUAGGGUGCAAGCGUUAAUCGGAAUUACUGGGCGUAAAGCGUGCGCAGGCGGUUAUGUAAGACAGCUGUGAAAUCCCCGGGCUUAACCUGGGAACUGCGCUUCUAACUGGCAGGCUUGAGUGUGGCAGAGGGGGGUGGAAUUCCACGUGUAGCAGUGAAAUGCGUAGAGAUGUGGAGGAACACCGAUGGCGAAGGCAGCCCCCUGGGCUAACACUGACGCUCAUGCACGAAAGCGUGGGGAGCAAACAGG
RNAcentral lists this ribosomal RNA (253 nucleotides) under uncultured bacterium. RNAcentral's name for it is "partial 16S ribosomal RNA". It matches the Rfam family "Bacterial small subunit ribosomal RNA", at positions 524 to 776 of the family's 1533-position model. The record is from RNAcentral.